GCAGAACGCGAAGAACCUUACCCACACUUGACAUGCCUCUUUUGGCUUUCAGAGAUGAUUGCCUUCGGUUCGGCCGGGGAGUGCACAGGUGCUGCAUGGCUGUCGUCAGCUCGUGUCGUGAGAUGUUAGGUUAAGUCCCGCAACGAGCGCAACCCUUAUCGUAUGUUGCCAGCAUUUAGUUGGGCACUCGUGCGAGACUGCCGGUGAUAAGCCGGAGGAAGGCGGGGACGACGUCAAGUCCUCAUGGCCCUUAUAGGUGGGGCUACACACGUCAUACAAUGGCUGGUACAAAGGGUUGCCAACCCGCGAGGGGAGCUAAUCCCAUAAAAGACCAGUCAUAAGUCCGGAUCGCAGUCUGCAACUCGACUGCGUGAAGUCGGAAUCGCUAGUAAUCGUGGAUCAGAAUGUCA
Molecule: ribosomal RNA, 410 nt
Filed under: uncultured bacterium
Lineage: Bacteria
Description: bacterial SSU rRNA
Rfam family: Bacterial small subunit ribosomal RNA
Source: RNAcentral